CGUAAUAAUAGAAACUAACCAGGAUUCCCUUAGUAACGGCGAGUGAACUGGGAUACCAACACACCAAUAUGCACUCUGUGCAUAAUUUAGCCCGUCGAUACUAUCCUAGCAUAUCACCGGUCUCGGCCGGUAACCCAAUAUGCGGGAAUUGUAGCAUCGUAAUAAAAAAUAUAUAUGCUGUGCACACACACACACACCCAGUGCCAUGCGUACGUGACCUUGUAAACACACAGCGUCUCCGCGUUGGAAAGCAAGUAUAUAUCCUCUUUGGAUAUGCCAUAGAGUGUGACAGCCACGUUUGACUCACUCCACACGUUACGCGCACACACACCCAUUGCACACACCUUAUAUAUAUUUCUAUAACCUGAGUCGAGUUAUUU
This 380-nucleotide ribosomal RNA is filed under the name Ammonia sp. Its description in RNAcentral is "partial large subunit ribosomal RNA". The record is from RNAcentral. Lineage: Eukaryota; Foraminifera; Rotaliida; Rotaliidae.